GCCGGGUGUGGUGGCGUGUGCCUGUAAUCCCAGCUACUUGGGAGGCUGAGGCAGGAGAAUCGCUUGAACCUAGGAGGCGAAGGUUGUGGUGAGCCAAGAUUGGGCCACUGCACUCCAGCCUGGGUGACAGAGUGAGACUCUGUCUCAA
This is a non-coding RNA of Gorilla gorilla gorilla (western lowland gorilla), 148 nucleotides long. It matches the Rfam family "Metazoan signal recognition particle RNA". Rfam says of the family: The signal recognition particle (SRP) is a universally conserved ribonucleoprotein. It is involved in the co-translational targeting of proteins to membranes. NCBI's taxonomy places the organism in Eukaryota, Metazoa, Chordata, Mammalia, Primates, Hominidae. The record is from Rfam.